GGGACGUUGUGCCACCCAGCUGGAGGAAGCCCGGCAGCACGCAGUGCUUCUGGCUUCCCCUCCCUGCGUUCUGGGCCCUGCUGCACCCACCUGCCCAGCUGGGCCGGCAUUUUGGCACCUUCACUCCUCUGACAGACACAGGGAACGGCUCGCUCUCCUCCCAGGACACAAGCAGCUCUUGACGUGCGGAAAUCAGACCCAAGAGCCAGUAAGGAUAUAGAGCAGACGUUACCGGCUGCCGAGCGGAGCUGUUGCCUUUCGCAGGCAACCGUGAUGUUCGUUGCUUAGGGGAGCCUGCGGCUUGGCCAAAUACCGAGGUGACACCAAUAUGAUGAGCGGCAAAAUGGCGUUUAUUAAGUUCUAACAAGCACUUAUAUAUCUUUUAACCCUUCGUGUACGCCCACUGGAUGGUACACGUGGCACGUACCUAACACAUGGGGAGGAGCCUGACACGUUACAUCCCGAGACCCCGAUCACGCCUAUUACAACAUCUCCCCCUCCCCAUGCCACAGAAAGCUGACCCGUAACAACGCGAACGCAAAUCCUAACUCUAUUUCUAUUCCUAAGUGCGUCUAUAAUUGCUCCUGAAUGCGCUGAUACGCGUACUGCUGACGUGAGAUUUCCUCUAUGAAGUUUCUUAAGCAUGCCUUAAGAAGCUGAACAAAGCAUGGAAGACAGAGCAUAAUAGCCAAGAAUAUUGCUAAAACUACGAUAAGCGUUUUAAGCAUUUGUUUUAGCCAUGGCUCUAAUUCCCCAAACAGACCCUCCAACCAUUCACCGAAGGGAUCGGCCUGCAUCUUGAUCUUCUGUGUGUGGCCUUGCAUCCACUGUAGUUGUUUAUGGAUCGAUGCGCUGUGAUCACUUAAGUUGAAGCAACAGAACCCUUCGACAUCCUCACAUCCGUGGCUUUGAGCUAAAAGCAAGAAGUCAAUAGCCGUGCCACCCCCUGGCAAAGAACAUAGACACAUUAGCAGAGAUAGAACCAAAUUUCUCGGUGUGGGCAGUAACGGCUGUGUUGCCGGGUCCGUGUCCUGGCUUGUCUUCGGUGGUCCACGCACCCAUAUAAGUG
Molecule: long non-coding RNA, 1069 nt
Filed under: Gallus gallus (chicken)
Lineage: Eukaryota; Metazoa; Chordata; Aves; Galliformes; Phasianidae
Description: lncRNA (ENSGALG00010000740.1)
Source: RNAcentral